GAUGAACGCUGGCGGCGUGCCUAAUACAUGCAAGUCGAGCGAACAGACGAGGAGCUUGCUCCUCUGACGUUAGCGGCGGACGGGUGAGUAACACGUGUAUAACCUACCUAUAAGACGGGGAUAACUUCGGGAAACCGGAGCAAAUACCGGAGAAGAUAUUGAAGCGCAGGGGUCAAUAGUGAAAGUCGGCUUUUCGGUCAGGUAUAGAUGGAUCCGCGCUGGAUUGGCUAGUUGGUAAGGUAACGGCCUACCAAGGCUACGCUGCGUAGGCGAGCUCAGAGAGGGGUAGCCCACCCUGGAACUGGGCCACGGUCCUGGCUCCUAAGGGACGGAGCAGACGGCUAUCUUCCGCAGUAGGCGAGAGUCUGACGCAACGACGGCGCGUGUGUGAUGACAGCCUUGCGUUCGUAAAGCCCUCUUAUUAGGUGAAAACCGCUUUGUAAGUAGAUAAACACUUAUUGACGGUAACGGAUCAGAAAGCCCCGGCUAACUACGUG
Molecule: ribosomal RNA, 497 nt
Filed under: uncultured bacterium
Lineage: Bacteria
Description: partial 16S ribosomal RNA
Rfam family: Bacterial small subunit ribosomal RNA
Source: RNAcentral